UGCUAACGUCCCGCGCGUGGCGGCCGUUUUCUCCGUUAUCGGCCCGUGGGAGCGACGGGCACCUCUAGGUGCGGCCCGGCCCUCGGGAGGCCGGAGUCUCGGCAGGGAGCUGUGCCUGCCUGUUCAAGACCUCGCCUGUAUCCAGGAGGGGAAUGUAGAGGAGGAAGCGAUGGCUCCUGCCUUGCUGACAACCUGGUCAUAGG
This 203-nucleotide long non-coding RNA is filed under the name Dasypus novemcinctus (nine-banded armadillo). Its description in RNAcentral is "lncRNA (ENSDNOG00000050882.1)". Lineage: Eukaryota; Metazoa; Chordata; Mammalia; Cingulata; Dasypodidae. The record is from RNAcentral.